UUUGAAACCGGUUUUUGGUAU
RNAcentral lists this non-coding RNA (21 nucleotides) under Caenorhabditis elegans. Lineage: Eukaryota; Metazoa; Nematoda; Chromadorea; Rhabditida; Rhabditidae. The record is from RNAcentral.